GCUGGGUGUGGUGGCUCAUGCCUGUAAUCCUGGCACUUUGGGAGGCUGAGGUGGGCGGAUCACCUGAGGCCAGGGGUUCAAGACCAGCCUGGCCAACAUGGUGAAAUCCCAUCUCUA
Unclassified non-coding RNA from Callithrix jacchus (white-tufted-ear marmoset), 117 nucleotides. It matches the Rfam family "Metazoan signal recognition particle RNA". Rfam says of the family: The signal recognition particle (SRP) is a universally conserved ribonucleoprotein. It is involved in the co-translational targeting of proteins to membranes. Lineage: Eukaryota; Metazoa; Chordata; Mammalia; Primates; Cebidae. The record is from Ensembl.